RNAcentral lists this ribosomal RNA (479 nucleotides) under uncultured bacterium. RNAcentral describes it as "partial 16S ribosomal RNA". It matches the Rfam family "Bacterial small subunit ribosomal RNA", at positions 28 to 507 of the family's 1533-position model. The record is from RNAcentral.
GAUGAACGCUGGCGGCGUGCUUAACACAUGCAAGUCGAACGAAACGGCUAGUUUCUGUUCUUCGGAUGGAGUUGUUGAUGGCUGAGUAGCGGACGGGUGAGUUACCCUUGGCUAAGCUGCCUCAUACAGGGGGAGAACAUAUAGAAAUGAAUGCUAAUACCGCAUAGGGGCACAGCGCCAGAUUGUUCGGGGGUAAUAACGCGGGUGGUAUGUGAUGGAGUCGAGUCGGAUUAGGUAGUUGGUGGGGUAGCGGCAUACCAGGCCGGCGAGCGGUAGCCGAGAGGGGAGGCGGACCGGCUGCAUUGGGACUGAGACACGGCCUCAAAUCCUACGGGAGGCAGGAGUGGGGAAUAUUGCAGAAUGGGGGCAAAUCUGAUGCAGCGACGUCGCGUGAGACGUGAAGUAUUUCGGUAUGUCAAGCCGUAUGAGACGGGACGAAAAUGACGGUACCUGAAUAAGAAGCACCGGCUAAAUACGUG